GGAAGAGGAUAACUGUCGGGCACCGUUACCGCAUUGACCUUACGGUAGUCGGUGCAAAACCUGAACGUUCCGUCAGGUUUGGGAACCAGAAGACACGGAGAACUCCACGGGCUACAGCUUGGUUUAGCUAACCCAUUGUCUAAGUUUGGUAACCGCGCACAUUGCUGAGGAGUGUUGCGAAGCAUCACUCCAUCCUCGUCAUCACCCGCACAACCACGAGAGGAACCCAGAUCAACGGCGGUAACUACGGAAGAGAUAGUGGGCUUUUUCAUCUGAUCCGCAGCAUCUGCGAGGGGUUUCUCACGGUCAUGCUAUUGUAUAAGGACCACAGAACCGGGCAGACAGUGAUGAACCUGUGACAGGCAGAAGUACUAGCACUUUGUCACCAGUUUCAAAGGACCUCUGACGGUGUGCCCAAAAACGAGCUCCGCCGGACUGAAUCCGAGGGACUCCUGAACAGCUUCACGCACGGCAAACAGAAUUAAAGGGACACCCUCAUCCCAAUCACGAGCCGUUUCCACGCAAUAUUUGCGCAACAUGGAUUUAAGGGUUUGAUGGAAGCGUUCGAGUGCGCCCUGACUUUGGGGAUGAUACGCACUCGAAACUCGGUUUUCCAGUUAAGGAAAUUAACCCCUUCAGAACAAAAGUAGAAACACUCUCUAAUCUCUUUUGGCUGAGGGGAGCUAGUCUUGGGACGAGCUGACUGAGAAUGAGUCGGCGCCGGAGGAAUUUUCUCGCUACGGGCAGAGGAGAAAACCCCUUUGUGCGUAAGCACAAAUUCGUCCGACAGAACAGCGGCGUGAGACAAUGAAGUUACUUUUUGCUCAUUAAGGCGGGCCAAACGGACCUUUAAUCGGGCAUCUAUCCUCGAGUCCGUGGACACCGGUGAAAAUGGAUCGAAGGGUGACAAGCCAGGUUUCGCAUCGGCCUCCGCCGUCGCGCCACCCACAGCUCCAACCCGUUCGUCCACCUCAUCGUCAGUGUUAGAAUGGCCAACAGAAUCACCACCAACAUCAACCUUCCCACCGGUCUUACCACCCUCAGCACUUAUCACAGGAAGAACAUCAAGUUCAACCAAACCUUGUAGAAUUUUACGUUUGAUUUCCUUUUUAAGCAUUUGUUUGCCCAAAGAAAUAUUGUAAUGCUCUGCUAUGGAUUCCAACUCCUUUUUCCUACAUAAUUCAACUUGUUCUGCUGUAGGAUUACCAAUAAAGGCUUGCAAAUUAAACAAUGCCAUGACUGUUACACACCACACCCACACAAACACGCAGCGCGGCAUAACAAACAGGCCGCCAACCGCAGGCCAAAAGCAGACCGCUAAAACAAAGUCGUCCGCCACCAAGCACGCACACCCAGGAAAAGGAAAAUUUUCAAAAAUGUAUAUGGAUUAUAAAUUUUUAAUGAUCUCGGACGAGCCCCCAAUAAAUGUUACGACCCAAGGCUGUCUAGGGUGAGGGAUGUAACAUUUUAUUUGAAAAGCUUUUCCUUUUUGGGUGUGUGUGUGUUUGGAUGGCAGGAGACAGACACGGGAAUAAACUGAAAAUUAUUUAUUAAAGGUGAACCAGUGAACAAAGUGACAAAAACGUGAAUAAUAAUAAUGAUAAUAAUGAUAAUAAUAAUAAUAAUAAUAAUCAGAAAACAAAAAUGAGAAUAGCAAAAUAAUAUUUACAAUAUUUACAGGGGUGGAACACAAAACACAGAACCAAAGGAAAGGGGACGAGAGUGGUGCUAAAUCAACGAAAGAAACAAAACAAAACGAAGCUAACUAUUUUUAAAGACCUCUAAACUAAUCUAAAGAAAAUAAAAAUAAAACAAAAGGUCUUCAGCGUAUACACGCCCUAACUAAACUACACUAGCUAGAUAAAAGUCGGGGAAAAACAUACAAGGGUGGCACUCACUCCUAAACUAGUGUGUCUAAUACAAAAUUAAUAUCUCCCUACGUGUGCACAAUGUAUGUCGCGCGACAAUCUUACCUGUCCGCCUUUCCCCGGCACGGGGAAAACGAAACGCCAGAACAUUCAGGACAAAACAACGGGAUAAAUGAGAUAACGAAAAACGAGAAUGAACUGACAUACACAGGCGGGGUAAAUAUAACAAGCGAAACAGACAGUACACAGUAACAGAAGGGUGUAUAAUUGUACAGUAAAUACAGUAAAUGAGCCGCAAAUGACUGACGCGCGUUUGAACUGGCGUCCUUUUUAAAACUGUGGGAGAAUGGAGAUUGGUGGAACCUGAUGUGACGUCAUUUAUAUACUGCAAUGAUUGACAUGUUGAUGGUCCAAUCGGGAAACUGGGUGUAUCUGGAGAGAGAGACAGCGGAGAGAGAGAGAGAGAGAGAGAGAGAGAGACACAACAACAAAGACACACCUACACGGACGUAACAAAUGCUGACAAAAAAUCUG
Non-coding RNA from Misgurnus anguillicaudatus (oriental weatherfish), 2402 nucleotides. The record is from RefSeq and is a predicted model, not a curated record. Lineage: Eukaryota; Metazoa; Chordata; Actinopteri; Cypriniformes; Cobitidae.